GCCAAAAAUCUAGCCCCCCCCCCCCCACUAAAACACCCCCUUAUUUCAUUAAACCAAGUAAACCAUUCUGUAAAUUGAGUAUAGGAGAUAAAAAAAUUAACCGGAGCUAUAAAACAAGUACCGCAAGGGAAAGCUGAAAUAUAAAUGAAAUAAACGCUUAAGCAUAAAAAAGUAAAGACUUCCCCUUGUACCUUUUGCAUCAUGGUUUAACUAGUCUUCAUCAAGCAAAAAGAAUUUAAGUUUGCCCCCCCGAAACUAAGUGAGCUACUCCAAGGCAGCCUUUUGAGCCAACCCGUCUCUGUUGCAAAAGAGUGGGAAGACCUUAGAGUAGAGGUGAUAGACCAAACGAACUUAGUGAUAGCUGGUUACCUGAUAAAAGAAUUUUAGUUCUACCUAAAGCCUCCUCAAGUCUAUAAUCUAACAAUCAUGCUUUAGAGUUAUUCAAAUAAGGUACAGCCUAUUUGAAUUAGGAAACAACCUAAACUAAUGGGUUAAUUUUUACAACAUACUUAAGUGGGCCUAAAAGCAGCCACCUUAAACAAUAGCGUCAAAGCUUUUCUAUAUAAGUAAUUCAAUUCCAUUACCCAACCUAAACCCUUUUUUACCAUCAGGUAAUUCUAUACAACUAUAGAAUAUAAACUGUUAAAACUAGUAACAAGAAGAAAACCCUUCUCUUUAAUGUAAGUGUAAGCCAGAAAGGAUAAGCCACUGUCAAUUAACAUUAGUAGCUUUAAUUUAGCAACAUAACAAGAAAACCCUAACAAAAUAAGUGUUAAACUAACACAAGAACAUUUCAAGAAAGAUUAAAAGAAAAAGAAGGAACUCGGCAAACAUCAACCCCGCCUGUUUACCAAAAACAUCGCCUCUUGAUAAACAUAAGAGGUCCAGCCUGCCCAGUGACCUAGUUCAACGGCCGCGGUAUCCUAACCGUGCGAAGGUAGCGUAAUCACUUGUUCUUUAAAUGAGGACUAGUAUGAAUGGCACCACGAGGGUUACACUGUCUCCUUUUUUUAAUCAGUGAAACUAAUUUUCCCGUGAAGAAGCGGGAAUUUUAUUAUAAGACGAGAAGACCCUAUGGAGCUUUAAACAAACCAACACUUGCUGCCCAAAAUAAAUUUUUCAGAAACACAGUACAAAGCAUAGCAUUAUGAUUAGUAGUUUUCGAUUGGGGUGAUCACGGAGUAAAAAACAACCUCCACGCCGAAUAGGGCUUUCCCCUGAGCAAAAAGUUACAACUUUAAGCACUAAAAAAUUAACGUUUAUUGACCCAACACUUUGAUCAACGAACCAAGUUACCCUAGGGAUAACAGCGCAAUCCACUUCAAGAGCUCCUAUCGACAAGUGGGUUUACGACCUCGAUGUUGGAUCAGGGUAUCCCAGUGGUGCAGCCGCUACUAACGGUUCGUUUGUUCAACGAUUAAAACCCU
RNAcentral lists this ribosomal RNA (1427 nucleotides) under Boana ericae. Its description in RNAcentral is "partial 16S ribosomal RNA". It matches the Rfam family "Bacterial large subunit ribosomal RNA", at positions 259 to 2597 of the family's 2925-position model. The record is from RNAcentral. Lineage: Eukaryota; Metazoa; Chordata; Amphibia; Anura; Hylidae.